RNAcentral lists this ribosomal RNA (253 nucleotides) under uncultured bacterium. Its description in RNAcentral is "partial 16S ribosomal RNA". It matches the Rfam family "Bacterial small subunit ribosomal RNA", at positions 524 to 776 of the family's 1533-position model. The record is from RNAcentral.
UACGUAGGGGGCAAGCGUUGUCCGGAAUUACUGGGCGUAAAGGGCGCGUAGGCGGCCUGUUAAGUCGAACGUGAAAUCCCUGGGCUCAACCCAGGAACUGCGUCCGAUACUGGCAGGCUUGAAUCCGGGAGAGGGAUGCGGAAUUCCAGGUGUAGCGGUGAAAUGCGUAGAUAUCUGGAGGAACACCGGUGGCGAAGGCGGCAUCCUGGACCGGCAUUGACGCUGAGGCGCGAAAGCUAGGGGAGCAAACGGG